CAUGACGAAGCACACGAAGGUGUGCUCGAAUCACUUUACCGCCGACAGUUACUUGCCGAAUGUAGUCGGCGAUUGGCGUUACCUCCGGGUUGACGCCGUGCCGAGAAUGUUUGCCUUUGGAAAACCCAAACCACCAGCAAGAAAAAAGCCUAAAGAACAACAGCAGUGUGUCGCGAAAAGAAAACUGCUUUCUGCCGUCGGCCAGGCUAGCAGCUCCAGGUUUGUGUCACAACCACCGCUUUCUCCCAGUAGUGAUGUCGCCGUGUCGCGGGAUUCUUCAACAGCUGUUGAAACUAUGGAUGCCACAGAGUGCGAAGCAAGUGUUUCAACGCCGGCCAGUGCAACCCACGUCCGAGCCCACGAAGUGUGUGAUUAAGCAUGUGCAGUUAGAGUGUCGGAGCUCAAGAAGCAGCUUUCUGUUCUCCAAAUGCGCAUAUACCAACUGGAAAGCGAACCUAGAAGGUAGGACCGAAGAGGCGAAGUCUGCAAAAGCAAGUGCAGAGAGAGUGCCUGAACUCGAGACGCAGCUCUCCCUACUUCAAUUGCGUAUACAACAACUGGAGAGCGACUUGGAAAUUAGAGCCAAAGAGGUGAAGUCAGCACAAGAUGUGCUUUAUAAAGCUCUAAGAGAGUAUGAAAUACUCAAUAUGGAAACCAAAAAGCUUGAUAGGCAUAAAAGCAGGCAAUUUUCUGUUGAAUGCUUCAAGGAGAGCCCUGAGGACAUUAGUUUCUACCCUGGGCUUUCAAACUUUGAAUCAUUCAUGUGCUUCUUUCAUUUGAUAAACCCCAGUGAGUGUGUGGAAAAUAUAAAAGUGUGGUCUAGGAGCUACUCAAGUACAUCAAGUAAUGCAGGGAGGCCGCACAUAUUGACAGCUAAGGACCAGCCUUUUCUUGUUUUCGUCAGUUUGUGCCUUGGGCUCUUCUAAAGGGCCCUUGCCUAUACUUUCAGGGUGCCCAUUGCUACACUAUCCAGAAUUUGUACCACAUGGAUCAGCUUUAUUUAUUUGCAGGUUGGCCAGGUGGACCUUUGGCUGAGCAGAGACAAAGUUAUGCCAGCCAUUUUUAAAGAGCAAUACCCAUCAACAAGGGCCAUUAUCGACGCAACAGAGACUACCAGUGUUCCAGAAGUGGACUCGCAGUAUGUGCAGCCAUCUCUCGCGAACUGCCUCACAGCUUUAGGAACAUCUAUGCUCCUCGGUCUUUUCCUGGCUUCAUAAAGACGUGAUUGGAGUGGGUUCCAGGGACGGCACGGCCCAUGAUGGGCGUUACGACCAGUGCUGCCCAGCCACUAUCUGAUGUUUUACAAGUGAUUACGUCUGCUCCUGUAUAUUUGCCACAAAAGGUACAAUUUAACGGGGGCUAAGGUGUAACAUACAAGUUAUGAAGCCAAUUUUGUUUUAUCAUAGGGAACUGCUGAAAGAAUUUCUGCUACUUUUUUUAUGUCAUUAAAUACAAGUCAAAUGUU
Molecule: non-coding RNA, 1465 nt
Organism: Dermacentor andersoni
Lineage: Eukaryota; Metazoa; Arthropoda; Arachnida; Ixodida; Ixodidae
Source: RefSeq, a predicted model, not a curated record